Molecule: long non-coding RNA, 259 nt
Organism: Magallana angulata
Lineage: Eukaryota; Metazoa; Mollusca; Bivalvia; Ostreida; Ostreidae
Exons: 3
Source: RefSeq, a predicted model, not a curated record
ACAUCAUUGUCUCUGUCUGGUUACAGAACCCAGACCAGCUCUCCGUCAUUGAAAUAAUCAUAGAGGGAACCUAAACACAAAAUCCCAGGUGAUGGACGAUAUUGUAGAGCAGUGUUUGGUAGAAGUGGGGCAGUUGGUCCAGAAGAUUCAGCAGCAGCUCCAUCUGGGGUACCACACACAGUGACACAGGACUCAGUGUUGUGUAUAUGUAUCUGACUUACCGGGGUUUCCAGCCAGCACCUGUUCCUUGAGUUCGGCC